CCUUUUCUGUCUCCUACUUCUGAGUUCUGAGCUAACUAGUCCAUGCACAGAUAUACAAAUUUCCUUUCGAAUUCCCCGGCUCUAGCUGAACAUUUCCAUUCUGACAUGAACAUACACAAGGAAGAGAUCGAUGAGAAUCGGAGUUAAUUGCUAUAUAAAUUACCAUGUAUAGGGUUGUUACAAAAGGCUUGGAAAUAAGUCAAAUAACAAAUGUGUAUGUGAUCACAUACGAGAAUUCAAAUCGUUAAAACUUGGAUUGGAUAAAAACAAAAUUAAUAUAAUGUUGUUACAUUCAAUAGAAAUCAAUGAAGUUUUAAGUACCAUGUAUGUAUAUGUAAAUCGAUAUGAUAUAGGUCCGAUGAUCAAACUUCCAAAGAAGAAAUUGAGUUUGAUCGAAAAUGGCGGAACCAAGUACCGCCAUGCAUGCUCAAAGCUUUGAAGGCCGGCCUAGUGUAAUAAUCUCAACUCUACCUAUAGCGUCGUGCUAGUGUACGUUGUCUAUCUUUUCAAGCAUGACCAUCGAUCAGUCUUCAAAUUAGUUGGCUUAGAAUUUUCCAUACAUGUCCAGUUCUGCAUUGUACUCUAGACACCGGUGGGUUAAAUACGCAACACUACAUCCAAUUGAUGUCACCAGAACCCAUCGGUCGCGGGAAAAUUGAUGGUGAUCGGAAAAUCGCCAGAGACGCCGGAGUCUCAUUGGAUUUUUUUGAAAAAAAUGUCACCAGAACCCACCGGAUCUUGCCGGAAGCAUACCGGCAAAAAAUGAAGUUUACUACCCCUAGUAAACUUUUACUGGGGGUAGUAAAUUUGCAAAACAGUAGCUCAAAUGUCAUAAUUCACAUUGAAAAAGAGAAAAAUCAACUUAGAUGCGAAAAAAUAAAGUUUACUACCCCUAGUAAACUUUUACUAGGGGCAGUAAACUUGCAAAACAGUAGCUUCAAUGCCAUAAUUCACAUUGAAAAAGAGAAAAAUCAAUUUAGAUGCGAAAAAAUGAAGUUUACUACCCCUAGUAAACUUUUACUGGGGGCAGUAAACUUACAAAACAGUAGCUCCAAUGCCAUAAUUCAUAUUCAAACGGAGAAAAAUCAACUUAGAUGUGUAGUAAACUUUUACUAGGGGUAGUAACCUUGCAAAACAGUAAC
RNAcentral lists this long non-coding RNA (1142 nucleotides) under Fragaria vesca (wild strawberry). RNAcentral describes it as "long non-coding RNA (FVES_LNC003026)". Lineage: Eukaryota; Viridiplantae; Streptophyta; Magnoliopsida; Rosales; Rosaceae. The record is from RNAcentral.